This 355-nucleotide transfer-messenger RNA is filed under the name Acidobacteriaceae bacterium. It matches the Rfam family "transfer-messenger RNA". Rfam says of the family: Bacterial tmRNA, also known as 10Sa RNA or SsrA, is named for its dual tRNA and mRNA-like properties. Its role is to liberate the mRNA from a stalled ribosome. Lineage: Bacteria; Pseudomonadati; Acidobacteriota; Terriglobia; Terriglobales; Acidobacteriaceae. The record is from RNAcentral.
GGGGGCGAUUUGGCUUCGACGGGGAUAAAGACUCGCGGGAUGCAUGCCGAGCUCCAUUGACUCGUUAAUCCGAUGGAAUAUCCCUUAACUGCGGAUACUCAGUACGCUCUCGCAGCCUAAUUAGGCUGUGAGCGUCUGCCUCGACCUCGCCCGUGGGUUGGGGGCCAGACGCCAUUUAGCGGGCUGGCGGUGGGCCGGCGCCUCGGCGUCCCCUCGCGAGAUUUCCCGAGGCUGGUUCCCGGCGGUUUUUGGUCGCUUCCUCACGCCGGGGACGAGAAUCUAGAAGCGGCUACGCAUGUAGGGUCCUUCGAGAACGUAUCUUCGGACGCGGGUUCGACUCCCGCCGCCUCCACCA